This 506-nucleotide ribosomal RNA is filed under the name uncultured bacterium. Its description in RNAcentral is "partial 16S ribosomal RNA". It matches the Rfam family "Bacterial small subunit ribosomal RNA", at positions 30 to 523 of the family's 1533-position model. The record is from RNAcentral.
AUUGAACGCUGGCGGUAGGCCUAACACAUGCAAGUCGAACGGCAGCACAGGAGAGCUUGCUCUCUGGGUGGCGAGUGGCGGACGGGUGGGGAAUACAUCGGAAUCUACUCUGUCGUGGGGGAUAACGUAGGGAAACUUACGCUAAUACCGCAUACGACCUACGGGUGAAAGCAGGGGACCUUCGGGCCUUGCGCGAUUGAAUGAGCCGAUGUCGGAUUAGCUAGUUGGCGGGGUAAAGGCCCACCAAGGCGACGAUCCGUAACUGGUCUGAGAGGAUGAUCAGCCACACUGGAACUGAGACACGGUCCAGACUCCUACGGGAGGCAGCAGUGGGGAAUAUUGGACAAUGGGCGCAAGCCUGAUCCAGCCAUACCGCGUGGGUGAAGAAGGCCUUCGGGUUGUAAAGCCCUUUUGUUGGGAAAGAAAUCCAGCUGGCUAAUACCCGGUUGGGAUGACGGUACCCAAAGAAUAAGCACCGGCUAACUUCGUGCCAGCCGCCGCCGUAA